UACGGAGGGUGCGAGCGUUGUCCGGAUUUAUUGGGUUUAAAGGGUGCGUAGGUGGCUUUUAAGUCAGUGGUGAAAUACAGCCGCUCAACGGUUGAGGUGCCAUUGAUACUGAAGAGCUUGAAACAAGUGGAGGCUGCCGGAAUGGAUGGUGUAGCGGUGAAAUGCAUAGAUAUCAUCCAGAACACCGAUUGCGAAGGCAGGUGGCUACGUUUGAUUUGACACUGAGGCACGAAAGCAUGGGGAGCAAACAGG
This 252-nucleotide ribosomal RNA is filed under the name uncultured bacterium. Its description in RNAcentral is "partial 16S ribosomal RNA". It matches the Rfam family "Bacterial small subunit ribosomal RNA", at positions 524 to 776 of the family's 1533-position model. The record is from RNAcentral.